AAUGAUAUGGAAUGGAGAAAAGGGGGAUUACAGGAGAAGACGAGUGCGGCUGCAGCGCCGAGGAAGCCGAAGAAAGGAGCUGUUUCAUCGCCGCUGAAGGUAGACAUGUCGACGUUUGCGAUUUGGAUCUGAGAUCAGGUCGCUGGAUGAUUGGAAUCUGGCGAGAGAGAGAGAGAGAGAGAUGUGGAUGGAUAUAUCGCUCUGAUUUUUUUAUUUAUUUAUUUGUUAUUGUUUUGUUUUUUUCUCUCGGAUGAGUGGAAGGGAACAACGUGCAGCUUGAUCUUUCACUGAGACGACCACGUCACUCUGGGCCUGGGCCUGGGCCUGGGCCUAAUUGUGAUUCACUUAGACCCCACUUUUAAAUAUCUCAACAUUUUCCAAUCCGGUUUACAGUUUUGGUACGACUUUGAAAGAGUUUCAAAUCGGUUUAAAACUUCUACUAGCAAACACAUUACAGUAGACCACACUGUUACACUAAUUAAUCCAAAAAUGCAAUAAGAUAACAAACUGAGGAAGGAGUCAUGUGAGCUAGUAGAAGCCAUGUGAGCUAAACUGUCAUUGGUUCGCAUCUUCUUUGAUUCUCAGUUCCGUGACAUCAACAUCUUCCUUAUACUCUUGUCUAAACUUCACACAAAAUAUGAACUGAUCUCUCCUAGAUGAGUUGAACAUAUGAUGACUGAAACCUAGUGUUAACAGAGUAAUAUGCACUCGUGUUUGGUGCUAAAACUUGCUUCAGACCAUUUACUUUACAUAGAUGAUGUCUUCGUCGGGGUCAUCCUCUGGUGUAUCAGAUGUUUCUGACCCUCCUUCGCUUCCUUUCUCAGCUUUUAUUUUGUCUAGUAUUGCAAUUACCUGAAAAAAACUCCAGUUUCAGUCUCUUGUGAUGGUUAUAUAACUAGUAACUACUAGCAACCACAAGAUCGAAAACUCAGAAAUCAUGAUCAGCACCAUUAAGGAUCUUCCAACUUUUAUAAUAUAGUUAGUUUCUUUUUGUAGUGAAAGAUAGAUCAGAAGGCUUACCCUGCUUCCUCUCUCCAUGGACAAACAAACACCAGAGAAAAGCAAUCAGAGAGACUCGUGAUGGUUUCAGAAAGCAAACUUCUUUACAAAUAAAUGUAUUUAACUUUCCUCAGGACAAUACAAGAAUACAAAAACAUACCAAGCUCCAUCCAGAGCCGGCCCUUGGGCCAAGCCAAGGAAGCAGUGGCUUCCGGCCUCAUUAUUAUAAAUGAAAUUUCGGCCACAAUUUUUCAAAAAUUACCUUUAGUCUGGUGGCAACAUAUGAAUGUUGCAUACUCUCUUGGCCCAACCUGGGUUCGAAACUCAAAAAAGUGGCCUAUUUUUUUAAAUUUGAAUCCGGUAUGGGAUUCCUUAGGACCGGCUCUGGCUCCAUCAGAGCUCUUUAUUACAGAACAAAAUAAUAAAAAUCCCUACAUCGGAGAGCAACCACCGAGAGAGAAAUAGGAGAGCGUCCAAUAAUUUUUUUCAGUUCCCGAGAGGAUACAUACUAAUGAACGAUAGAACAAAACACACAGAGAAAAUAAAGUACCUUCGGGGGAAAAUCUUGUGGGUUACAUAUCUCAUUCAGCUCUAGACUGGCCAGCUCUUGAGGAGAGGAUGAUUCCUACAAUAAGCCCGUAAAGAGCAAGUGCUUCUGCGAAGAUAAGGAUAAGAAUCAUCCCAACAAAGAGCUUAGGCUGCUGAGCAUUUGCCCUGAAAAAAGAAUUACAAACGAACAAGUCAAACACCAAUGUCACAUACACACUCACGUGUGAAGUAUUAUAGGUUGCAGGAGGAGGGAAUAACAAACCUGACACCGGCAUCACCGACAAUACCAAUGGCCAUACCAGCAGAAAGACCAGCAAGACCACAAGCAAGACCGGAGGAGAGGUGAGCGUAUCCAUCGAAGAGGUAGUAAGACUUGGCCUUUGGGUUAAUACCGGUACUGAUGAUAACAGCAAUAAUCAAGCCGUAAAUACCCAACACACCAGCCAUAACAACGGGGACAAUGGACUUCAUGACCAGCUCGGGCCUCAUCACUCCCAUAGACGCCACACCAACACCACUCUUUGCGGUUCCAUAAGCAGCUCCCAUACCUAUCCACCCAAUAAAAACAAAGAUUUAUUACCAUAAUGUCAAAAAUAUAAAAUAAUCCUCAUAGGAUCCCACAAGAUUACUCUAACAAUAACAUAAUGUCAAAAAUGAAUCGAAUCGAAUCUCAGAUUUACAACACAAUGGUGAUUGAAACGCAUUGCUUAAUAGAUUUUCCAAGGUCAAACACUAAUCAAGAUCCAAUAGCUACUCAAUGAAGCACACGGUGGGCUCCAAAUUUCAAGGGAAUGCACAACAAAAUGGAAAUGAAUCUCUUCGCAGAUCUUCAGCUAGAUAAAAAUUUGACUAAGCUACAAUUCAAUGGUGCUCGAAUAACAUUGCUGAAUCAGCUGAUCCAAGGUCAAAUGAAAACAAUAUCUUAUAAGAUCACACAUUCUUUUGUCUAUGGACGCAGAUCGGAACCUAAAUACUCAUUCGUCAAUCAAUCAUACACGCGAUCUGAAGAGCUAUGCGCAAGUUAGCACAUAUCUAGCUUAGUUACAAAUGUCAGACGUCAAUCCUAGAAUCCAGGAAGACGAUCACGGACAAACGAUUCAGAUCAAAACAAAAUGAUAUGGAAUGGAGAAAAGGGGGAUUACAGGAGAAGACGAGUGCGGCUGCAGCGCCGAGGAAGCCGAAGAAAGGAGCUGUUUCAUCGCCGCUGAAGGUAGACAUGUCGACGUUUGCGAUUUGGAUCUGAGAUCAGGUCGCUGGAUGAUUGGAAUCUGGCGAGAGAGAGAGAGAGAGAGAUGUGGAUGGAUAUAUCGCUCUGAUUUUUUUAUUUAUUUAUUUGUUAUUGUUUUGUUUUUUU
RNAcentral lists this long non-coding RNA (2902 nucleotides) under Brassica napus (rape). Its description in RNAcentral is "long non-coding RNA (BNAP_LNC003124)". The record is from RNAcentral. Lineage: Eukaryota; Viridiplantae; Streptophyta; Magnoliopsida; Brassicales; Brassicaceae.